This 96-nucleotide transfer RNA is filed under the name marine sediment metagenome. It matches the Rfam family "tRNA". Rfam says of the family: Transfer RNA (tRNA) molecules are approximately 80 nucleotides in length. Their secondary structure includes four short double-helical elements and three loops (D, anti-codon, and T loops). Further hydrogen bonds mediate the characteristic L-shaped molecular structure. tRNAs have two regions of fundamental functional importance: the anti-codon, which is responsible for specific mRNA codon recognition, and the 3' end, to which the tRNAs corresponding amino acid is attached (by aminoacyl-tRNA synthetases). tRNAs cope with the degeneracy of the genetic code in two manners: having more than one tRNA (with a specific anti-codon) for a particular amino acid; and 'wobble' base-pairing, i.e. permitting non-standard base-pairing at the 3rd anti-codon position. The record is from RNAcentral.
GGAGAGGUGGCAGAGCUGGUCGAAUGCGCGCGACUGGAAAUCGCGUCUACGGGGCAAAACUUCGUAGCGUGGGUUCGAAUCCCACCCUCUCCGCCA